RNAcentral lists this ribosomal RNA (510 nucleotides) under uncultured bacterium. Its description in RNAcentral is "partial 16S ribosomal RNA". It matches the Rfam family "Bacterial small subunit ribosomal RNA", at positions 28 to 507 of the family's 1533-position model. The record is from RNAcentral.
GACGAACGCUGGCGGCGUGCUUAACACAUGCAAGUCGAACGAAGAGCGAUGGAAGCUUGCUUCUAUCAAUCUUAGUGGCGCACGGGUGAGUAACGCGUAAUCAACCUGCCCUUCAGAGGGGGACAACAGUUGGAAACGACUGCUAAUACCGCAUACGAUCUAAUCUCUGCAUCGAGGAUAGAUUAAAGGUGGCCUCUACAUGUAAGCUAUCACUGAAGGAGGGGAUUGAGUGUGGUUAGCUAGUUGGAGGGGUAACGGCCCACCAAGGCGAUGAUCAGUAGCCGGUCUGAGAGGAUGAACGGCCACAUUGGGACUGAGAAACGGCCCAGACUCCUACGGGAGGCAGCAGUGGGGAAUCUUUCGCAAUGGACGACAGUCUGACGGAGCAACGCCGCGUGAGUGAUGACGGCCUUCGGGUUGUAAAGCUCUGUUAAUCGGGACGAAAGGCCAUCUUGCGAAUAGUGAGAAGGAUUGACGGUACCGGAAUAGAAAGCCACGGCUAACUACGUG